RNAcentral lists this long non-coding RNA (1085 nucleotides) under Sarcophilus harrisii (Tasmanian devil). RNAcentral describes it as "lncRNA (ENSSHAG00000027886.1)". Lineage: Eukaryota; Metazoa; Chordata; Mammalia; Dasyuromorphia; Dasyuridae. The record is from RNAcentral.
AAAAAAGAAGAAAUUAUGAUUUUCAAAAUUCAAAGUUCUCAAGUAAAAUUUUUCCUUUCUCUAUUGAAAAAAAGGGAGAUUUCAGGAGUACCAACAAGAGAUGAUAGGAGCAAGAACCAGAAUAAUUAAUACUGCUGUGUGAAUAGAGAAAGGAAUAAAUAGAGAGUUCCAACAAGAGAUGACAGGAGCAAGAACCAGAAUAAGUAAUAUUGCUGUGUGAAUAGAGAAAGGAAUAAAUAGAGAUAUGGAAGAGGUAGAAGUGACAAGAUUAACUGAUAUGAUUGGAAAAAGUAAUUUUGAUGUGUAGUAGAUGAGAAGCAUGAGAAGAUAUUAAUGCAUUUUGUCUGGAAAAGAUGUAGUUGGAUCUACAGAUUUGAAAAUUUUCUAUACAUAUUUUCAUUCAUUGGCAACUGAAAAGAUCAGCAAGAAAGAAGAUGUGGAGAUAGCCAAUUACGUGGGGAACAAUAGUGGAGAACACACAAUCUUAUUGGUAGAGCAUGAUGUUAUAGAGGGUGAAAUUAAAGAGGGAAAGGGAACAGUGCCUUGGAGGACAGAACCAUGCGUGUAGACACGGCCUGUAUGUAGAUUCUAGCAAAAGAGAAUCAGAUCCACUGAAAAAACACAGGAGAAGCCACAGGGGCCCAAUGGCACAAAUAUUGAGAGAGGAAAGCCCAUUUCAAAAUCUCCAGAGAGAUUAAAGAAGAACAGAGAAAGUCUCUAAAUUUAAGACAGAAGUCACCAUAGAUCAUUUGAAAAUUACACCUUCCUUCUGUCAGCAAUGACACAAUCAAAGAUUUCAGAGCAGCCUAAGUAAACCUUGAUGAAGUGAUUCAAAAUACAGUAACGAGGAUAUUCACUAAUACAAAAUUAAAGGAAAUGAAAACAAAAGGGUAAGAUUGCCAUUCUCUUAUUGUGUUGAAAACCAUAGCUUUAGCCUACAAAACAGAAAAUUAAACAUGGUUCCUCUACCCAGUAGACACACUGAGAUCAACAGAUACAAAAGGUUUUAUUUUCUGUCAGAUGUUGAACUAUUUAUUGAUGAAGAAUAUAUGGAUUUAUAUAUUUGUAUAUGUUUGUGCAUAUAU